Etheostoma spectabile (orangethroat darter) is the source of this 117-nucleotide small nuclear RNA. RefSeq annotates it as U5 spliceosomal RNA. The record is from RefSeq and is a predicted model, not a curated record. NCBI's taxonomy places the organism in Eukaryota, Metazoa, Chordata, Actinopteri, Perciformes, Percidae. The transcript has a single exon.
UCGCUCUGGUUUCUCUUCAUAACACAUAAGUCUUUCGCCUUUUACUAAAGACUUCCUUGGAGAAGAACGCAGAUGAGCUAAAUCUAGUUUUGGUGGGCUUUGCUGUAUGGCCGAGCC